UCUACAAGAGCAACAAAUGUAGCCAUCAUCAUAGCAAAUGCUUCACCAGCAUCAAAUGAAGGUGCUCCCCACUGAAAAGGGUAUGGAACUCUAAUCCUGCAGAUAAACAGAAGCAAAAGAUGAAGAGAAAAUUAUUUUUCUUGAAAGACAUUACGUUUGGAGACAGUUGCUAGAAUAAUGGUGUUUUGGCCUAGAUGUUUAUUAAAAACAAAAGGUGAGUUGGAAAUCAUUAAAUAGUCCAAAAUUCAACUGAACCCCUAACAAUUACCUCCGGCACAUUAUGAAAAUCUAUCCUGCUCGGACUCUCCGAAAAUGUGGCCGGAUAAGUGUCGGAUCCUCCAAAAGUAGUGCAUUUUUUAAGGAUCCGACACGGGUACGGCUACAUUUUGGAGAGUCCGCGCAACAUAGAUGAAAAUAUUACAACAAUUCAAUAAACAUGUAUUAGAUCAAUGAGUUAGUGCUAUAGCAACAUUAAAAAGAAAGUGAAAGCAAAAAAGAAAUAGUAAAAAAUAUAGCAAUUUUACAACAAACAAAAAAUAAUUUUACAGCGAGAAAAUGAAAUAGCAUAUGAUAUAUGGAAUUAUUUAAAACGUACAGCAAGAUAAAAGGAAGAGAAAAUAGUGCUCCUUCUAGCCCAACUCAAAAAUAUUUGAUACAAGUUCAUCUCUUUACAACCUUCACAACUCACAUUCAUUAUCAACUUUUAAAGUCAGCAAGAUAAAAUAAAAAAAUAAAAAAAAAAAUAAAAUAAAAUAAAAUAAAAAACUUUUAAAGUUGAUGUGAUAAAAAUAUUUCAACAAUUACUUUAAUUUUUUGUUCGAAUAUUACUAAUUAAAUAUAUAAGUCAACUUAACAUCUAAAACUUCUAGCCCAAUCAAAUAUCGUUAAAUGAAACAAGGCAGUAUAUCUUGUUUUAGAUAACAUCGUGGAGAAACGAGGGCCAAAGUGAUAGAAUCUGGAAAGAAGAGGGUUCAGCAGGAAGCAUAAGCUAAUCCAUUUUUUCUUGGGUUUUCUGGAAAACUGAAAACAAUUUUCACCAUCUCCAGUUCUUAUAAGUUUCAGGUUUUGGUUUUUGCAAAAACCAAAUAUGUUAUCUAUUCAAAACGUUUUUUUUUUAUUUGGUUUCUAGGGAAGUGAAGGAGAGUCUUGGAGCAACGGUAAAGUUGUCUCUGUGUGACUUAUAGGUCACGGGUUCGAACUGAAAUCAGCAGAUAUCAGGGUAGCUGCCUACAUUACACCCCCUUGGGGUGCGUCCACCUUCCCCGGAACAUGCGUAAACGCGGGAUGAUUCAUGUACCGGGCUGCUCCUUUUUUGGGUUUCUAGGGAAGUAUGUUGGAAAAUGUUUCCGACCCAACAGUCACCCAGUUAUCUUGGAGUAAAAGCGUCAUUUAGAUGCACUGAUGGAAAAAGCAAGUAGAAAGCAAAAUUCACAUUGACGCUUUAACAAAUACUACUAAACAAAGUGGAAAGCUUUGCCUCUAACAAUAGCAUCAUGUGUCGGGACGAUGAGCCCAUCAGUGGAAAGAUGAAGUGAAGAAGAGAAGUGAAUUUGUUGUGUGCUCAAGAAUAACUAUCAAUCAAUUAUGCCUCAAUUCCAAUUAGUUGGGGUCGGCUAAUAGGAUUUUUUAACCUGACAUCAACCUACCGCAACCCCACUAAUUUAUCCAAGCUUGGGACUGAUUGUACUUUGCUGAGCUCAGCAAUAUGGACUUUGCUCCAAGGAUUAUAGAAAAGAAUACACAUAUAUAUCAAUACCCUUAACAAUUUCCGAAGGUGCAGGAACUAUAGAAAGCAACCCAUGCAGUCUUAAACAUGGAAAUCAGAUUGGUGAAUUUCAGAUAUCCCGCAGUGUUUUUUACCUUGUACAUUUUUUUGUCCUGUUACAUAUAUGCUAAUUAUGCUGUGUGCAAGAACUAAUGGCAACUAGCGAGCAUAGGCAUUUCUUCGUUGUCCCUAAAGGUGAUGGAAAAAAAGCACUAGAACUCAAAUCCCCUGGAAAGUCAUAAAAGAAGAUAACUUACCAGGGAGCACCACUAAUAAGUCCAGCCCGAUCAGUUCUGCAGCUUAUCUGUGUCUUUUGUGGCUUCCCGUUAUAAGCCCCACCCACAGUAAGUAUGUAUGCAUAAAUCCAUACAAUUGCUACCGUGAAAAGAACAGCAAAGCGAUCAAAGAU
This 2174-nucleotide long non-coding RNA is filed under the name Nicotiana benthamiana. Its description in RNAcentral is "long non-coding RNA (NBEN_LNC009269)". Lineage: Eukaryota; Viridiplantae; Streptophyta; Magnoliopsida; Solanales; Solanaceae. The record is from RNAcentral.